RNAcentral lists this ribosomal RNA (257 nucleotides) under uncultured bacterium. Its description in RNAcentral is "partial 16S ribosomal RNA". It matches the Rfam family "Bacterial small subunit ribosomal RNA", at positions 524 to 776 of the family's 1533-position model. The record is from RNAcentral.
UACGUAGGGUGCGAGCGUUGUCCGGAAUUAUUGGGCGUAAAGAGCUCGUAGGCGGUUUGUUGCGUCUAUCGUGAAAACCUGCAGCUUAACUGUGGGCUUGCGGUGGAUACGGGCAGACUUGAGUUCGGUAGGGGGGAGACUGGAAUUCCUGGUGUAGCGGUGAAAUGCGCAGAUAUCAGGAGGAACACCGGUGGCGAAGGCGGGGUCUCUGGGGCCGAUACUGACGCUGAGGAGCGAAAGCGUGGGGAGCGAACAGG